CAUCUACGGAGAGUUUGAUCCUGGCUCAGGACGAACGCUGGCGGCGUGCUUAACACAUGCAAGUCGAACGGUGAACCGCUUCGGUGGGGAUCAGUGGCGAACGGGUGAGUAACACGUGGGCAACCUGCCCCUGGCUCUGGGAUAACUCCAAGAAAUUGGGGCUAAUACCGGAUAUGACCGCUGACCGCAUGGUCUGGUG
Molecule: ribosomal RNA, 199 nt
Filed under: Blastococcus sp. DSM 46786
Lineage: Bacteria; Bacillati; Actinomycetota; Actinomycetes; Geodermatophilales; Geodermatophilaceae
Description: 16S rRNA. Bacterial SSU
Rfam family: Bacterial small subunit ribosomal RNA
Source: RNAcentral